This 465-nucleotide ribosomal RNA is filed under the name uncultured Klebsiella sp. RNAcentral describes it as "bacterial SSU rRNA". It matches the Rfam family "Bacterial small subunit ribosomal RNA", at positions 338 to 795 of the family's 1533-position model. Lineage: Bacteria; Pseudomonadati; Pseudomonadota; Gammaproteobacteria; Enterobacterales; Enterobacteriaceae. The record is from RNAcentral.
CCUACGGGGGGCUGCAGUGGGGAAUAUUGCACAAUGGGCGCAAGCCUGAUGCAGCCAUGCCGCGUGUGUGAAGAAGGCCUUCGGGUUGUAAAGCACUUUCAGCGGGGAGGAAGGCGGUGAGGUUAAUAACCUCAUCGAUUGACGUUACCCGCAGAAGAAGCACCGGCUAACUCCGUGCCUGCAGCCGCGGUAAUACGGAGGGUGCAAGCGUUAAUCGGAAUUACUGGGCGUAAAGCGCACGCAGGCGGUCUGUCAAGUCGGAUGUGAAAUCCCCGGGCUCAACCUGGGAACUGCAUUCGAAACUGGCAGGCUAGAGUCUUGUAGAGGGGGGUAGAAUUCCAGGUGUAGCGGUGAAAUGCGUAGAGAUCUGGAGGAAUACCGGUGGCGAAGGCGGCCCCCUGGACAAAGACUGACGCUCAGGUGCGAAAGCGUGGGGAGCAAACAGGAUUAGAUACCCCAGUAGUC